This 251-nucleotide ribosomal RNA is filed under the name uncultured bacterium. Its description in RNAcentral is "partial 16S ribosomal RNA". It matches the Rfam family "Archaeal small subunit ribosomal RNA", at positions 474 to 727 of the family's 1478-position model. The record is from RNAcentral.
AACCAGCACCCUCAAGUGGUCAGGAUGAUUAUUGGGCCUAAAGCAUCCGUAGCUCGUUUUGUAAGUUUUCGGUUAAAUCCAUGCGCUUAACGUAGUGGGCUGCCGGGAAUACUGCAUAACUAGGAGUGGAGAGUAGACGUACUCGGUAGGAAGGGUAAAUCCUUUGAUCUAUUGAUGACCACCUGUGGCGAAGGCGGUCUACCAGAACACGUUCGACGGUGAGGGAUGAAAGCGUGGGGGAGACAAACCGG